AAAAAAAAAAAAAAAAAAACAUAUGGACACAUUUUUGGCUGCAAACUCUUUUGCUGUUGCAUGUAAUAUAAAGAUAAGCUUGGAAAAAGUAGAAUGGGUAGUGAUUAAGCUAGAAUGAUGUGUGACAGAAUGUUCUAAUCUGAUUUCUCUUUGCAUGCUAAAUUUUCUCUGCAUUUUUUAUUCUAAAAUGAGCUUACUGAUUUCUCACCUAGAUAACAUAUUCAUAUUGAUUCCUUUUGGUUUUGUGGCCUUACCAUUGGUAUGGCAAUUUUAUGCCUUUUUUUUGUAUGUGCUUGGCUUAUUAUUGGACUCCAGUAUAAAUUGUCUGUUGAUUUUUUGUCAUGAUUUCACUUUCUCAGGAAGGAUCCAGCCAUGAUCGUGG
This 382-nucleotide unclassified non-coding RNA is filed under the name Hevea brasiliensis (rubber tree). Lineage: Eukaryota; Viridiplantae; Streptophyta; Magnoliopsida; Malpighiales; Euphorbiaceae. The record is from RNAcentral.